Plectropomus leopardus (leopard coralgrouper) is the source of this 1624-nucleotide non-coding RNA. NCBI's taxonomy places the organism in Eukaryota, Metazoa, Chordata, Actinopteri, Perciformes, Serranidae. The record is from RefSeq and is a predicted model, not a curated record.
UGUUUGUCAUGACGUUAGUUUUAUUGCUGUUUUCGGUCGGUGGAUGAGCACAGUGAUCACAGUGACUGACAGCAUGGAGACCCUCUCAGGGGUCAGAGGUCGAUGACACACAGUGACAUCAUCAGGGCUCGAAGCUAACGUUACAUCGUCGACAAGUUUUGUUUGUUUUUUUUUUAUUGGCUGGUGACUCGUUAACGUGGAGCCCCGAGUGUCAUUAGUACACAGCUACUCAUUAAUGAAGCUACUUUAAUCACCUUAAAUCCAUCGAUUAAAAUACGGUUAUGAAUGGAAGACUGAAGGUUCACAGGAAGUCACAACAGACACGUUACACAACGCCGCCGGGACGGAUGAGUUUGGGCUGGAAACACAAACGCCAAAAAAAACAUCUUCAGGUCGAAAACGAGACUUUGUUUUACGGGAAGCUUGAAACAGAAAUAAAGACAUAAAAUAAAAUAAAAUAAAACAAAUUUUAAAAAAUAAAACGAUAAAAAUCAGGUGUAAUGAAAAAUAGUUGAUUUAAAAUUUAAAAUAAAUUCCUCAAGUUUUAACUUCUUGAAAAAAUGUAAGAAGAAAUAAAUCUGUGGGCCAACCACAUUUCCCAUGAUGCUCUGAGGGACACUAACCGUAAGUCAGUGACAGUUUUUAAUUUACUGUAAGCUCAUUUUUCAUUUUAUCACUUAACAUGAACGAGUUGUUUAACAUGUUAUGUUGUUUGAUGUUUUUGUUCUUUUUAUUUUUUUUCAGUCCCGUUGUUCGCUUUUCCGGCGGCGUUUCCAGCCCGAACUCGAAGGACGGGAGUUCCCAUCGGAGGAGAGCGCCUCCUGCUGGCUCCAAUGAGCCGACCUCAGCUUCCCAAAAAACUCAAAGGUUGAUGCUGAGUGGUUGCUAGGAGACAGAGCUGUAGACACGCCCCCGCAGACUGCUGAUUGGUGGGAUGAGACGCGGAGCCGUACGCAGGACGUCCCGCCGACCCUGCGUUCGGCUCGGCGGCCGUUACGGGCUCGAGAGUUAAGACAACAACGACGUAAGGCAACGCUUGGCAUCAGGCUGAGUCCUCCGGCUCUCAUCUCCCCGCCAGCCAACUGCAGGUAAAAAAAUUUAAGAAAAGGUUCUUCUUCUUCUAACGUUAAAAUCGGCCGUUUCUUGGGCUGCUAAUCAACACGGUGCCGACUAGAGCUGCAGCAGACGAUUAUUUUCAUUUUGAUUCAAAAUUUUAAAAAUGUCAUAGAUACAUGUCAUAAUGUAUAGACGGAUUCAUUUGCUUUCACCACCGACUGCAAAGUUGAAAUAUCAAAUAAUCAUCAAGAGUUUGCUGCAGAGUCGCCACCUUGUGGUAAAACAGAUAAAUGAUCGCUCAUCAGCACCUGUUGGUAAUUUAGGAGUUAAUUUAGUUAGAAAGCUCAAAAUGGUUUUGCAGCUUCAGGGAGAUUUUUUUGUUGUUGUAAUUUUUGGUCAAAAAGGGUCUUUAAAGUUUUAAAUAUGUGUUUUUCUGAGCGAUGAGUCGGUCAGCUGCUGAGGAGAGCGGGACGUUCGGUGGGAGGACUUCAGCGUCGGAGACGAACGGAUGAGACGAGGCAGAGAAGAAGAAGACGAGUGAACGGGACGGCAGCCCGGAGCUGGUCUG